CUUUCAACAACGGAUCUCUUGGCUCCAGCAUCGAUGAAGAACGCAGCGAAAUGCGAUAAGUAAUGUGAAUUGCAGAAUUCAGUGAAUCAUCGAAUCUUUGAACGCACAUUGCGCCCCCUGGCAUUCCGGGGGG
Molecule: ribosomal RNA, 133 nt
Filed under: Mycoblastus sanguinarius
Lineage: Eukaryota; Fungi; Ascomycota; Lecanoromycetes; Lecanorales; Mycoblastaceae
Description: 5.8S ribosomal RNA
Rfam family: 5.8S ribosomal RNA
About the family: 5.8S ribosomal RNA (5.8S rRNA) is a component of the large subunit of the eukaryotic ribosome. It is transcribed by RNA polymerase I as part of the 45S precursor that also contains 18S and 28S rRNA. Functionally, it is thought that 5.8S rRNA may be involved in ribosome translocation.
Source: RNAcentral